Molecule: transfer RNA, 87 nt
Filed under: Pseudomonas sp.
Lineage: Bacteria; Pseudomonadati; Pseudomonadota; Gammaproteobacteria; Pseudomonadales; Pseudomonadaceae
Also listed under: 24 other names
Description: tRNA-Leu(taa)
Rfam family: tRNA
About the family: Transfer RNA (tRNA) molecules are approximately 80 nucleotides in length.
Source: RNAcentral
GCCCGAAUGGCGAAAUCGGUAGACGCAGGGGACUUAAAAUCCCUCGCCAGCAAUGGCAUGCCGGUUCGAGUCCGGCUUCGGGCACCA